CCUACGGGCGGCAGCAGUGAGGAAUAUUGGUCAAUGGGCGCGAGCCUGAACCAGCCAAGUAGCGUGCAGGAUGACUGCCCUACGGGUUGUAAACUUCUUUUAUAAAGGAAUAAAUUGAGGCACGUGUGCCUUUUUGUAUGUACUUUAUGUAUACGGAUCGGCUUACUCCGUGCUAGCAGCCGCGGUAAUAUGUAGGGGGCAAGCGUUAUCCGGAUUUACUUGGUGUAAAGGGAGCGGAGACGGAAAGGUAAGGCAGAUGGGAAACCCCAAGGCUCAAACAUGGGACUGCGUUUGAUACUGGCAAACUAGAGUACGUGAGAGGUAAGAGGAAUUCCUAGUGAAGCGGUGAAAUGCGUAGAUAUUAGGAGGAACACCAGUGGCGAAGGCGUCUUACUGGACCGAAACUGACGUUGAGGCUCGAAAGCGUGGGGAGCAAACAGGAUUAGAUACCCGGGUAGUC
Molecule: ribosomal RNA, 460 nt
Filed under: uncultured bacterium
Lineage: Bacteria
Description: partial 16S ribosomal RNA
Rfam family: Bacterial small subunit ribosomal RNA
Source: RNAcentral